This 993-nucleotide long non-coding RNA is filed under the name Setaria viridis. RNAcentral's name for it is "long non-coding RNA (SVIR_LNC001417)". The record is from RNAcentral. Lineage: Eukaryota; Viridiplantae; Streptophyta; Magnoliopsida; Poales; Poaceae.
GAGCCCAACAGAUGACAUGUUCAGAGAUUCACUAGGUCUGCAUAAGUUUACCGAGGAUGCUCUUCCUGAUAGAACCUUGGAGAUAGUGGACUCAACAAUCUGGCUGCACAUAGAACCCAAGGAUAGCAUUACAAGACGUGGAGUCCAGGAGUGCUUGAUCUCUGUCUUCAGGCUGGGCCUAUCCUGCUCGAAGCAACAGCCUCGGGAGCGACCAUCGAUAAGAGAUGUAGCAGCAGAGAUGCAUGCAAUCCGAGAUGCAUACCUAAUGUUUGGCAAUUAGAUUCCAGGGGAAUACGAGACAACAGAGCUGCUUCGAUCAACAAGCUGGUAGAAAUAACCCUGAAAUAGACAAAAAUAAAAUCCAAACAUGCUGUUUCAGGUUAAAAACUGCUCCAAGAGCUAUGUUUCUUUAUGUUAUGGAGCCGGUAUCAGAUAAUGUACAGCAGAUUUCACCUCAGGUUAUCAGCCUGAAGUUCCAGUUCUGCAAUAGCUACUUGGCUCGUAGCCUGGUACGAAUUCUGAAGGAUCCAUAAACCUGAUGAAAUCUGGCAGUGCGACGACCAUAAGUACACAAGCAGGAUGAAGUCAUUGAAUUCAAGCGAACAGCGGAACAGUAGUCAGUAGACACGAUUCAGAAUCUCACUUGUCAUAGUGCCCACAGCCCACAUGGGAAAACACCGAGGAAAAUGGAGCGAUACUUAUUCCUGAAGUGUAAUCUCACGUUUCCAGUCACUACAGCUGAAUGCUGCGAACUACUACCAACAAGGUUAGCCUUCGACGGCGAGAUCGGCGCCGCAGGACCGGGCAGCCGCAGCGCCCGAGCCCAGGCGGCACGCUCAGCGCAUCCCCCCGCAGGCCCCGCACCUCGCCGCGGGGAGGAGGCGCUGCGCCGGGCCGGAAGGAGGGGCGGCGGCGGCGGCGGCGGCGGUAACGCGUGUUUUUUUUUUUUUUAGGGGGGGCGGGGAGGAGGGGGUUAACGCGUGAGUGGUAGUG